RNAcentral lists this ribosomal RNA (252 nucleotides) under uncultured bacterium. RNAcentral's name for it is "partial 16S ribosomal RNA". It matches the Rfam family "Bacterial small subunit ribosomal RNA", at positions 524 to 776 of the family's 1533-position model. The record is from RNAcentral.
UACGAGGGGGCGAGCGUUGUUCGGAAUUAUUGGGCGUAAAGGGUGCGUAGGCGGUUUGGUAAGUCUUAUGUGAAAUCUAUGGGCUCAACUCAUAGUCUGCAUGAGAAACUGCCGGGCUUGAGUAUGGGAGAGGUGAGUGGAAUUCCUGGUGUAGCGGUGAAAUGCGUAGAUAUCAGGAGGAACACCUGUGGCGAAAGCGGCUCACUGGACCAUAACUGACGCUGAUGCACGAAAGCUAGGGGAGCAAACAGG